AUGCAUUGCGCGAAUCAUCGAAAAGCGACAAAGGCUGCGUCCGAAUCCAGGGGCUGCAUUCCUCUACGUAACCAGGCGGCAGCAGCGCCCUUCAAACCCCAAGUUUCGGUCAGAAGAUAAAGAUAAUUGACCAAUGGAUGUGGGAUUCACACUGUCAUGACGUCGGAGCAACUCAGAUACCACCUUCUCGAAAGUCUUCUGCAUAAAAUAGAAAUGGAAUUCAGCGCGACUUCACUAAAUUUGGAUUACCUGGAGUUCCUUUGUCAUCAGGAGCAGUAUCUUCUGCAGGCCCCGUCUAAUCACAUUGAAGUACCUCCUGCUAUCACCCUGGCUUUGCAAGAGCUCUUUGACCUUGUGAGGGCACAUCUGGAACGUCCAGCCCCAUGUGUCACACAAGAAGUCACUGCCACCAAAGGACGACCCAAGAUUUUGAUUGAAGAACAAUGUUUGAAAUAAAUGCUCCAUACACAACUUCCUGUGCCUUGCAUAGCCACACUGAUGGGUGUUUCAAGAAGAACAAUCUUAAGAAGAAUGAAAGAGUAUGAGAUCUGUGUUAGGGACACAUAUAAUUCCAUCAGUGAUGAGGAACUUGACAAUU
RNA transcript from Brienomyrus brachyistius, 598 nucleotides. It is a transcript of the gene named glycoprotein hormones alpha chain-like, with no coding region annotated. Lineage: Eukaryota; Metazoa; Chordata; Actinopteri; Osteoglossiformes; Mormyridae. The record is from RefSeq and is a predicted model, not a curated record. The transcript is spliced from 3 exons.